AGGACAAACGCUGGCGGCGUGCCUAAGACAUGCAAGUCGGACGGGAGGCUUCGGCCUCUAGUGGCGGACGGGUGAGGAGCGCGUGGAGAACCUGCCCCGGGGUGGGGGAUACCCGCCAGAAAUGGCGGUUAAGACCGCAUACGACGGCACCGUGCAGGCGGUGGCGGGAAAGCAGUGAUGUGCCCUGGGAGGGCUCCGCGUCCCAUUAGCUAGAUGGUGGGGUAACGGCCUACCAUGGCACCGAUGGGUAGCUGGUUUGAGAGAGCGACCAGCCACACUGGGACUGAGAAACGGCCCAGACUCCUACGGGAGGCAGCAGUGAGGAAUUUUCCGCAAUGGGCGCAAGCCUGACGGAGCGACGCCGCGUGUGGGAAGAAGGCCUUCGGGUCGUAAACCACUGUCGAAGGGGACGAUAAUGACGGUACCCUUGGAGGAAGCCCCGGCUAACUACGUGCCAGCAGCCGC
Molecule: ribosomal RNA, 465 nt
Filed under: uncultured bacterium
Lineage: Bacteria
Description: SSU rRNA
Rfam family: Bacterial small subunit ribosomal RNA
Source: RNAcentral